CUACGGGGGGCACCAGUGAGGAAUAUUGCACAAUGGGGGGAACCCUGAUGCAGCAACGCCGCGUGGAGGAUGACGCAUUUCGGUGUGUAAACUCCUUUUAUAUGUCAAGAAAAUGACGGUAGCAUAUGAAUAAGCACCGGCUAACUCCGUGCCAGCAGCCGCGGUAAUACGGAGGGUGCAAGCGUUACUCGGAAUCACUGGGCGUAAAGGACGCGUAGGCGGGUUGGAAAGUCAGGUGUGAAAUCCUACAGCUUAACUGUAGAACUGCACUUGAAACUUCUAAUCUAGAGUAUGGAGGGGGAGAUGGAAUUAGUGGUGUAGGGGUAAAAUCCGUAGAUAUCACUAGGAAUACCUAAAGCGAAGGCGAUCUCCUGGAACAUUACUGACGCUAAGGCGUGAAAGUGUGGGGAGCAAACAGGAUUAGAUACCCUCGUAGUC
This 438-nucleotide ribosomal RNA is filed under the name uncultured bacterium. RNAcentral's name for it is "partial 16S ribosomal RNA". It matches the Rfam family "Bacterial small subunit ribosomal RNA", at positions 339 to 795 of the family's 1533-position model. The record is from RNAcentral.